GUGUUAGUAGCAUAUUCGGUUAAUGUGCCGCACUGUGAAUGCGGAGAACAGGGUUCAAUUCCCGCUAACACCCA
RNAcentral lists this transfer RNA (74 nucleotides) under Bacteroidota bacterium. RNAcentral's name for it is "Bacteroidetes bacterium (sediment metagenome) tRNA-His". It matches the Rfam family "tRNA". From Rfam's summary of the family: Transfer RNA (tRNA) molecules are approximately 80 nucleotides in length. Their secondary structure includes four short double-helical elements and three loops (D, anti-codon, and T loops). Lineage: Bacteria; Pseudomonadati; Bacteroidota. The record is from RNAcentral.